GACGAACGCUGGCGGCGUGCUUAACACAUGCCAGUCGUACGGUAAGGCCCUUUCGGGGGUACACGAGUGGCGAACGGGUGAGUAACACGUGAGUAACCUGCCCACAACUUUGGGAUAACGCUAGGAAACUGGUGCUAAUACUGGAUAUGUGCUCCUGCUGCAUGGUGGGGGUUGGAAAGCUCCGGCGGUUGUGGAUGGACUCGCGGCCUAUCAGCUUGUUGGUGGGGUAGUGGCCUACCAAGGCGGCGACGGGUAGCCGGCCUGAGAGGGUGACCGGCCACAUUGGGACUGAGAUACGGCCCAGACUCCUACGGGAGGCAGCAGUGGGGAAUAUUGCACAAGGGGCGCAAGCCUGAUGCAGCAACGCCGCGUGCGGGAUGACGGCCUUCGGGUUGUAAACCGCGUUCAGCAGGGACGAAGCUUUUUGUGACGGUACCUGCAGAAGAAGCACCGGCUAACUACGUG
This 465-nucleotide ribosomal RNA is filed under the name uncultured bacterium. Its description in RNAcentral is "partial 16S ribosomal RNA". It matches the Rfam family "Bacterial small subunit ribosomal RNA", at positions 28 to 507 of the family's 1533-position model. The record is from RNAcentral.